This 286-nucleotide long non-coding RNA is filed under the name Mytilus galloprovincialis (Mediterranean mussel). Lineage: Eukaryota; Metazoa; Mollusca; Bivalvia; Mytilida; Mytilidae. The record is from RNAcentral.
CUGUUAUUGGGCUUUUAGUUUUUUUGUUAUCUGUUAUUGUGAUAAUGUAUUUGCUGUUAACUGUUAUUGAAAAUUGGAAUGUUAGCAUUUUUUUGACAGUCAAUAUUCGGUAUAAAUUGAAGAUCAUUGGCCAUUGGGGUCUACCACUACUAAUAUGUUUGUCCCGUAUUCAGAGAAGGAUUCCAUUAACAUAUACCCAUCACAGAAGUGAGGUCCAGGACAAUUCAAGUAUAUCUUAUGAUUAUCCUUUGUAAUAAAUUCCAUUUUUUUUUAUGAAUGUGUAUUU